CCUACGGGUGGCAGCAGUGGGGAAUAUUGGACAAUGGGCGAAAGCCUGAUCCAGCCAUGCCGCGUGUGUGAAGAAGGCCUUCGGGUUGUAAAGCACUUUCAGUGGGGAAGAAAGCCUUGGGGCGAAUACCCUCGAGGAAGGACAGCACCCACAGAAGAAGCACCGGCUAACUCCGUGCCAGCAGCCGCGGUAAUACGGAGGGUGCGAGCGUUAAUCGGAAUUACUGGGCGUAAAGCGCGCGUAGGCGGUCUGAUAAGCCGGUUGUGAAAGCCCCGGGCUCAACCUGGGAACGGCAUCCGGAACUGUCAGGCUAGAGUGCAGGAGAGGAAGGUAGAAUUCCCGGUGUAGCGGUGAAAUGCGUAGAGAUCGGGAGGAAUACCAGUGGCGAAGGCGGCCUUCUGGACUGACACUGACGCUGAGGUGCGAAAGCGUGGGUAGCAAACAGGAUUAGAUACCCCAGUAGUC
Molecule: ribosomal RNA, 465 nt
Filed under: Vreelandella stevensii
Lineage: Bacteria; Pseudomonadati; Pseudomonadota; Gammaproteobacteria; Oceanospirillales; Halomonadaceae
Description: partial 16S ribosomal RNA
Rfam family: Bacterial small subunit ribosomal RNA
Source: RNAcentral